Molecule: non-coding RNA, 77 nt
Organism: Cucurbita pepo subsp. pepo (vegetable marrow)
Lineage: Eukaryota; Viridiplantae; Streptophyta; Magnoliopsida; Cucurbitales; Cucurbitaceae
Source: the annotation of a RefSeq genome assembly
CCGACCUUAGCUCAAUUGGUAGAGCGGAGGACUGUAGAUCCUUAGGUCGGUCACUGGUUCGAAUUCAGUAGGUCGAA